GGACCAAGGAGUCUAGCGUGUGCGCGAGUCAUUGGGAAUAACUAAACCUAAAGGCGAAAUGAAAGUAAACGUCCGCUUACUGCGGACUGAGGGAAGAUGAUCGGUCUUCACGACCGAUCCGCAUUCCCGGGGCGUCUCGUUCUCAUUGCGAGAGGAGGCGCACCAAGAGCGUACACGCUGGGACCCGAAAGAUGGUGAACUAUGCCUGGUCAGGACGAAGUCAGGGGAAACCCUGAUGGAGGUCCGUAGCGAUUCUGACGUGCAAAUCGAUCGUCGGAACUGGGUAUA
Molecule: ribosomal RNA, 288 nt
Filed under: Coccinella quinquepunctata
Lineage: Eukaryota; Metazoa; Arthropoda; Insecta; Coleoptera; Coccinellidae
Description: partial 28S ribosomal RNA
Rfam family: Eukaryotic large subunit ribosomal RNA
Source: RNAcentral